Long non-coding RNA from Siniperca chuatsi (mandarin fish), 766 nucleotides. RefSeq lists it as uncharacterized. The record is from RefSeq and is a predicted model, not a curated record. The transcript is spliced from 5 exons. Lineage: Eukaryota; Metazoa; Chordata; Actinopteri; Centrarchiformes; Sinipercidae.
AACAACUUAAUCACAUUGUCAGUGUGAAUUACAUGAAUCCAUCUCUUUAUAGGCCAACAACAUGAAACCAGAGACUGAAGUUAACACCUGAACACUGACAAAAUCUUUCCUGUGAUUGGAUGCUCCUCAACGGGGGACGAUCCUUGAGGGCGUGGUCUCUCUCCCACUGUGACCUGAGAUGGUUCGUCACAUAUCUGCAUGGACAUAAGAUUUGAUUCUGCAGCCCCUCAAGGAUGCCAAAAAGGGAAAGUCUGACUCCAAUUUGACUAUGCCUCUGCUUCAAACACACAGCAGGAGGGAAACAGGAGAAGUGCAGAGCCGCCUGACAUCCUCGAUGAUGACAUCUUCAAACACUCCCCUGCACUCUGCAGACACACCCAGCGCUCACUGCAGCUUCCAACAUUCGUCAUGUUAAAGAGGUGGACUUGAGGCUGGAAGGUUGCUGGUUCAAAUCCCUGCACAGACAGGUAAAUAAAAAGUUAUUCCGGCAGUUUCUCGGCUCUUUCAGCAGCCGUUGUUUACGUGUUGUUGAGCAAAGCAGCAUGGACUGGUGUGAUUGUGAAACAGGGCGUUUCAAAGGGUUUGGAGGAUAAGAGUUGAUGUUUGUGUUGCAUCAGACCUUUUCAUGUACAGACCCACAGACUUCAUCCGUUUCAAAACCUGACAGUGAGUGAUGAGUGGAAUAUUGAACUGCACCUAAACACAUUAUGUACUUGAUUCUCUGAACUUCCACUGACCAUGAGUUACCAUUUUUAUCUCUGCGUGA